Molecule: ribosomal RNA, 301 nt
Filed under: uncultured bacterium
Lineage: Bacteria
Description: partial 16S ribosomal RNA
Rfam family: Bacterial small subunit ribosomal RNA
Source: RNAcentral
CAGCAGCCGCGGGAAUACGAUGGGGGCGAGCGUUGUUCGGAAUUAUUGGGCGUAAAUGGUGCGUAGGCGGUUUGGUAAGUCUGAUGUGAAAUCUAUGGGCUCAACUCAUAGUCUGCAUCGGAAACUUCCGGGCUUGAGUAUGGGAGAUGUGAGUGGAAUUCCUGGUGUAGCGGUGAAAUGCGUAGAUAUCAGGAGGAACACCUGUGGCGAAAGCGGCUCACUGGACCAUAACUGACGCUGAUGCACGAAAGCUAGGGGAGCAAACAGGAUUAGAUACCCCGGUAGUCCCUGUCUCUUAUAC